This 699-nucleotide ribosomal RNA is filed under the name uncultured bacterium. RNAcentral's name for it is "bacterial SSU rRNA". It matches the Rfam family "Bacterial small subunit ribosomal RNA", at positions 8 to 700 of the family's 1533-position model. The record is from RNAcentral.
AGAGUUUGAUCAUGGCUCAGAUUGAACGCUGGCGGCGUGCUUAACACAUGCAAGUCGAUCGGUAACAGGUGUAGCAAUACAUGCUGACGAGAGGCGGACGGGUGAGGAAUAUUUGGGAAUCUGCCCAUCAGCGGGGGACAACCCGGGGAAACCCGGGCUAAUACCGCAUACGCUCUAAGGAGGAAAGCCGGGGACCGCAAGGCCUGGCACUGAUGGAUGAGCCCAAAUCGGAUUAGCUUGUUGGCGGGGUAACGGCCCACCAAGGCGACGAUCCGUAGCUGGUCUGAGAGGACGAUCAGCCACACCGGAACUGAGACACGGUCCGGACUCCUACGGGAGGCAGCAGUGGGGAAUAUUGGACAAUGGGGGAAACCCUGAUCCAGCGACGCCGCGUGGGUGAAGAAGGCCUGCGGGUUGUAAAGCCCUUUCGGUAGGGACGAAAGCUCUUGCUCUAACAAAGCAGGAGGUUGACUUAACCUACAUAAGAAGCACCGGCUAACUCUGUGCCAGCAGCCGCGGUAAUACAGAGGGUGCGAGCGUUAAUCGGAAUUACUGGGCGUAAAGCGCACGUAGUCGGCUUGUCAAGUCGGGUGUGAAAUCCCCGGGCUCAACCUGGGAACUGCAUCCGAAACUGACUUGCUAGAGUAUGGGAGAGGGAGGCGGAAUUUCUGGUGUAGCAGUGAAAUGCGUAAAUAUCAA